Molecule: long non-coding RNA, 92 nt
Organism: Sapajus apella (tufted capuchin)
Lineage: Eukaryota; Metazoa; Chordata; Mammalia; Primates; Cebidae
Exons: 3
Source: RefSeq, a predicted model, not a curated record
CUUUGCCCAUUUUUAAUGGGCUCUUUGUUUUUUGCCUGCUGAUUUAAGUUUCUUAUAAAGGAUAUUAGACCUUUGUUAGAUGCAUAAUUUGC